This 253-nucleotide ribosomal RNA is filed under the name uncultured bacterium. RNAcentral describes it as "partial 16S ribosomal RNA". It matches the Rfam family "Bacterial small subunit ribosomal RNA", at positions 524 to 776 of the family's 1533-position model. The record is from RNAcentral.
UACGGAGGGGGCUAGCGUUGUUCGGAAUUACUGGGCGUAAAGCGCGCGUAGGCGGACCUGCAAGUCGGGGGUGAAAACCCGAGGCUCAACCUCGGGACGUCGGCGGAAACCAUUUGGCUAGAGUCCGGAAGAGGAGAGUGGAAUUCCCGGUGUAGCGGUGAAAUGCGCAGAUAUCGGGAAGAACACCCGUGGCGAAGGCGGCUCUCUGGGACGGUACUGACGCUGAGAAGCGAAAGCAUGGGGAGCGAACAGG